GAAUAUUGCACAAUGGGCGCAAGCCUGAUGCAGCGACGCCGCGUGUGGGAUGAAGGGGCUACGCCUCGUAAACCACUGUAGCCCGGGACGAAAAAAGCCUUAGAGGCGUUAGCCGGUACCGGGAAAGAAAGGGUCGGCUAACUACGUGCCAGCAGCCGCGGUAAUACGUAGGACCCAAGCGUUGUCCGGCUUUACUGGGUGUAAAGGGAGCGCAGGCGGGAUAAAAAGUCAGUGGUGAAAUCCUACAGCUUAACUGUAGAACUGCCGUUGAUACUUUUAUUCUUGAGUUCGGGAGAGGGAGACGGAAUUCCAGGUGUAGUGGUGAAAUACGUAGAUAUCUGGAAGAACACCAGUUGCGAAGGCGGUCUCUUGGUCAGAGACUGACGCUGAGGCGCGAAAGCGUGGGGAGCAAACA
This 415-nucleotide ribosomal RNA is filed under the name uncultured bacterium. Its description in RNAcentral is "bacterial SSU rRNA". It matches the Rfam family "Bacterial small subunit ribosomal RNA", at positions 359 to 774 of the family's 1533-position model. The record is from RNAcentral.